UAGAGAUAAAAGAAAAACUCGCUAGGGUUCGUCCGUCCAUCCGUUCUCAGAGCAGAGCAGAGCAGAGACCUCGGCCGCCGCCCUUUUCUUCUUCUCCGCAAACCCAGCGACAGCGAGCCACCCAUAAUCCUCCUCCUCCGGUAAGGAGGAUAUACUCUGGCGCCCGGGUCAGUAGCGCGCCGGAUCUUUAAAUUUCCGCGGGAGGAUUGAUGUUCUGCACGCCCACCUCUAUCUGUCCACGCCGGAUUCGACUCCGUUUACCACUAUCUGUCUAACGCGGAGGUGAAUUUGAAUUUCAGGACCAGUCCGCCUUGCUCUGGCUGGCGCCAGACCUUCCUUCUUCUUCUCCUUCUCUUCAAUCUUCAUGCGAGUAGUGCUGUUUAUCAUUUUAUUUAUACCACCGGAUCAAUAGCCAACUCGGUUUUGCUCCGGUGUACGGAUAACUUAUCUUUUUUUUUCUUGGAACAAUAAUAAGAGUAUAGUAAUCCGGUGCAGCGCUAAGUUAUUAUAAAUAGUGGCAGAGUAAGGACGAGGAUUGGCCUGUAAUAAUCAUUCAAGCCUCCACGCUCGCCUCAAAGAUUUCGUUCAAAGCCUCGUCGGGUUUCAGGGGCCUCACACUCCAUGGAGGCCAUAAAUAACGGUUUCAGCGACAGUUCCCGCAGCCAAGUAAGUUCCCUCCCUUCUUGUUCGCCAUGCCUCUAUUCAUAUUUUCUUCUUAUUAACAUUCCACUGUACGUACAAUGCCAAGAGCUGUAUCUUCAACUCAACUCAUACACUACUAUAUACUCUUGACAGUUAUUGUAGCACUCCAUGUAAAUGUUAAGUUGUUUGUCUAGCCUGUUAUCA
Molecule: ribosomal RNA, 846 nt
Filed under: Triticum aestivum (bread wheat)
Lineage: Eukaryota; Viridiplantae; Streptophyta; Magnoliopsida; Poales; Poaceae
Description: partial small subunit ribosomal RNA
Source: RNAcentral